GAUGAACGCUGGCGGCGUGCCUAAUACAUGCAAGUCGAGCGAACGGACGAGAAGCUUGCUUCUCUGAUGUUAGCGGCGGACGGGUGAGUAACACGUGGAUAACCUACCUAUAAGACUGGGAUAACUUCGGGAAACCGGAGCUAAUACCGGAUAAUAUUUUGAACCGCAUGGUUCAAAAGUGAAAGACGGUCUUGCUGUCACUUAUAGAUGGAUCCGCGCUGCAUUAGCUAGUUGGUAAGGUAACGGCUUACCAAGGCAACGAUGCAUAACCGACCUGAGAGGGUGAUCGGCCACACUGGAACUGAGACACGGUCCAGACGCCUAAGGGAGGCAGCAGUAGGGAAUCUUCCGCAAUGGGCGAAAGCCUGACGGAGCAACGCCGCGUGAGUGAUGAAGGUCUUCGGAUCGUAAAACUCUGUUAUUAGGGAAGAACAUAUGUGUAAGUAACUGUGCACAUCUUGACGGUACCUAAUCAGAAAGCCACGGCUAACUACGUG
This 497-nucleotide ribosomal RNA is filed under the name uncultured bacterium. RNAcentral's name for it is "partial 16S ribosomal RNA". It matches the Rfam family "Bacterial small subunit ribosomal RNA", at positions 28 to 507 of the family's 1533-position model. The record is from RNAcentral.